This 429-nucleotide ribosomal RNA is filed under the name Acidobacteriota bacterium. RNAcentral describes it as "Acidobacteria bacterium partial 16S ribosomal RNA". It matches the Rfam family "Bacterial small subunit ribosomal RNA", at positions 355 to 776 of the family's 1533-position model. Lineage: Bacteria; Pseudomonadati; Acidobacteriota. The record is from RNAcentral.
UGGGGAAUUUUGGACAAUGGGGGAAACCCUGAUCCAGCCAUCCCGCGUGUGCGAUGAAGGCCUUCGGGUUGUAAAGCACUUUUGGCAGGAAAGAAACGUCAUGGGUUAAUACCCCGUGAAACUGACGGUACCUGCAGAAUAAGCACCGGCUUACUACGUGCCAGCAGCCGCGGUAAUACGUAGGGUGCAAGCGUUAAUCGGAAUUACUGGGCGUAAAGCGUGCGCAGGCGGUUCGGAAAGAAAGAUGUGAAAUCCCAGAGCUCAACUUUGGAACUGCAUUUGUAACUACCGGGCUAGAGUGUGUGAGAGGGGGGUGGAAUUCCGCGUGUAGCAGUGAAAUGCGUAGAUAUGCGGAGGAACACCGGUGGCGAAGGCAGCCUCCUGGGAUAACACUGACGCUCAUGCGCGAAAGCGUGGGGAGCAAACAGG